GAUGAACGCUGGCGGCGUGCCUAAUACAUGCAAGUCGAGCGAACAGACGAGGAGCUUGCUCCUCUGACGUUAGCGGCGGACGGGUGAGUAACACGUGGAUAACCUACCUAUAAGACUGGGAUAACUUCGGGAAACCGGAGCUAAUACCGGAUAAUAUAUUGAACCGCAUGGUUCAAUAGUGAAAGACGGUUUUGCUGUCACUUAUAGAUGGAUCCGCGCCGCAUUAGCUAGUUGGUAAGGUAACGGCUUACCAAGGCAACGAUGCGUAGCCGACCUGAGAGGGUGAUCGGCCACACGGGAACUGAGACACGGUCCAGACUCCUACGGUAGGCAGCAGUAGGGAAUCUUCCGCAAUGGGCGAAAGCCUGACGGAGCAACGCCGCGUGAGUGAUGAAGGUCUUCGGAUCGUAAAACUCUGUUAGUAGGGAAGAACAAAUGUGUAAGUAACUAUGCACGUCUUGACGGUACCUAAUCAGAAAGCCACGGCUAACUACGUG
This 497-nucleotide ribosomal RNA is filed under the name uncultured bacterium. RNAcentral's name for it is "partial 16S ribosomal RNA". It matches the Rfam family "Bacterial small subunit ribosomal RNA", at positions 28 to 507 of the family's 1533-position model. The record is from RNAcentral.